CUUAUCCCGACAAUGUCAGCAAGGACCCAAGAGAGUCCAUGUGUCCUCUCUGACAGGGUCAGCACUCAGUGCUACUUACCCUCACAUUUGCAAAGUGGUCAUAACAUUUCUUUUCAUCACCUGAAGAGAUGUGUAACCAGGAAAAGGACAGCAUUCAUCUCUCAGCUGAUAAGAAGGCUGGUGGAUGAAAAAUAUAUCAUCUAUGGCUAAAGUAGAACGCUUAACAAUGGUUGGAAUUAGAGGGUUGAGAAUUACACCAGUCUCUCAGUUGGACUUCUUAGUGCCUAAGAAAAUCUGCCUUCUUCUGGAGAGAAUCCUGUAUCUAGGGAGCUACUGGGCCAAAAAAAGUCAAAUGGCUCCAUAAUUCUCCCCAAGGUGGCAUGUUUGACAAGCUGGAUAAGAAGAUGACAUCCACAUCCUGGCCUUUCUAUUCCUCAAAUAAAUGAAACUAAAACAUGAAACAAUGAGAACACUUCUAGUUGGAUU
Molecule: non-coding RNA, 486 nt
Organism: Callithrix jacchus (white-tufted-ear marmoset)
Lineage: Eukaryota; Metazoa; Chordata; Mammalia; Primates; Cebidae
Source: RefSeq, a predicted model, not a curated record